GGGUUGUGAGGUUAAGCGACUAAGCGUACACGGUGGAUGCCCUGGCAGUCAGAGGCGAUGAAGGACGUGCUAAUCUGCGAUAAGCGUCGGUAAGGUGAUAUGAACCGUUAUAACCGGCGAUUUCCGAAUGGGGAAACCCAGUGUGUUUCGACACACUAUCAUUAACUGAAUCCAUAGGUUAAUGAGGCGAACCGGGGGAACUGAAACAUCUAAGUACCCCGAGGAAAAGAAAUCAACCGAGAUUCCCCCAGUAGCGGCGAGCGAACGGGGAGCAGCCCAGAGCCUGAAUCAGUGUGUGUGUUAGUGGAAGCGUCUGGAAAGGCGCGCGAUACAGGGUGACAGCCCCGUACACAAAAAUGCACAUGCUGUGAGCUCGAUGAGUAGGGCGGGACACGUGGUAUCCUGUCUGAAUAUGGGGGGACCAUCCUCCAAGGCUAAAUACUCCUGACUGACCGAUAGUGAACCAGUACCGUGAGGGAAAGGCGAAAAGAACCCCGGCGAGGGGAGUGAAAAAGAACCUGAAACCGUGUACGUACAAGCAGUGGGAGCACGCUUAGGCGUGUGACUGCGUACCUUUUGUAUAAUGGGUCAGCGACUUAUAUUCUGUAGCAAGGUUAACCGAAUAGGGGAGCCGAAGGGAAACCGAGUCUUAACUGGGCGUUAAGUUGCAGGGUAUAGACCCGAAACCCGGUGAUCUAGCCAUGGGCAGGUUGAAGGUUGGGUAACACUAACUGGAGGACCGAACCGACUAAUGUUGAAAAAUUAGCGGAUGACUUGUGGCUGGGGGUGAAAGGCCAAUCAAACCGGGAGAUAGCUGGUUCUCCCCGAAAGCUAUUUAGGUAGCGCCUCGUGAAUUCAUCUCCGGGGGUAGAGCACUGUUUCGGCAAGGGGGUCAUCCCGACUUACCAACCCGAUGCAAACUGCGAAUACCGGAGAAUGUUAUCACGGGAGACACACGGCGGGUGCUAACGUCCGUCGUGAAGAGGGAAACAACCCAGACCGCCAGCUAAGGUCCCAAAGUCAUGGUUAAGUGGGAAACGAUGUGGGAAGGCCCAGACAGCCAGGAUGUUGGCUUAGAAGCAGCCAUCAUUUAAAGAAAGCGUAAUAGCUCACUGGUCGAGUCGGCCUGCGCGGAAGAUGUAACGGGGCUAAACCAUGCACCGAAGCUGCGGCAGCGACGCUUAUGCGUUGUUGGGUAGGGGAGCGUUCUGUAAGCCUGCGAAGGUGUGCUGUGAGGCAUGCUGGAGGUAUCAGAAGUGCGAAUGCUGACAUAAGUAACGAUAAAGCGGGUGAAAAGCCCGCUCGCCGGAAGACCAAGGGUUCCUGUCCAACGUUAAUCGGGGCAGGGUGAGUCGACCCCUAAGGCGAGGCCGAAAGGCGUAGUCGAUGGGAAACAGGUUAAUAUUCCUGUACUUGGUGUUACUGCGAAGGGGGGACGGAGAAGGCUAUGUUGGCCGGGCGACGGUUGUCCCGGUUUAAGCGUGUAGGCUGGUUUUCCAGGCAAAUCCGGAAAAUCAAGGCUGAGGCGUGAUGACGAGGCACUACGGUGCUGAAGCAACAAAUGCCCUGCUUCCAGGAAAAGCCUCUAAGCAUCAGGUAACAUCAAAUCGUACCCCAAACCGACACAGGUGGUCAGGUAGAGAAUACCAAGGCGCUUGAGAGAACUCGGGUGAAGGAACUAGGCAAAAUGGUGCCGUAACUUCGGGAGAAGGCACGCUGAUAUGUAGGUGAAGUCCCUCGCGGAUGGAGCUGAAAUCAGUCGAAGAUACCAGCUGGCUGCAACUGUUUAUUAAAAACACAGCACUGUGCAAACACGAAAGUGGACGUAUACGGUGUGACGCCUGCCCGGUGCCGGAAGGUUAAUUGAUGGGGUCAGCGCAAGCGAAGCUCUUGAUCGAAGCCCCGGUAAACGGCGGCCGUAACUAUAACGGUCCUAAGGUAGCGAAAUUCCUUGUCGGGUAAGUUCCGACCUGCACGAAUGGCGUAAUGAUGGCCAGGCUGUCUCCACCCGAGACUCAGUGAAAUUGAACUCGCUGUGAAGAUGCAGUGUACCCGCGGCAAGACGGAAAGACCCCGUGAACCUUUACUAUAGCUUGACACUGAACAUUGAGCCUUGAUGUGUAGGAUAGGUGGGAGGCUUUGAAGUGUGGACGCCAGUCUGCAUGGAGCCGACCUUGAAAUACCACCCUUUAAUGUUUGAUGUUCUAACGUGGACCCGUGAUCCGGGUUGCGGACAGUGUCUGGUGGGUAGUUUGACUGGGGCGGUCUCCUCCUAAAGAGUAACGGAGGAGCACGAAGGUUGGCUAAUCCUGGUCGGACAUCAGGAGGUUAGUGCAAUGGCAUAAGCCAGCUUGACUGCGAGCGUGACGGCGCGAGCAGGUGCGAAAGCAGGUCAUAGUGAUCCGGUGGUUCUGAAUGGAAGGGCCAUCGCUCAACGGAUAAAAGGUACUCCGGGGAUAACAGGCUGAUACCGCCCAAGAGUUCAUAUCGACGGCGGUGUUUGGCACCUCGAUGUCGGCUCAUCACAUCCUGGGGCUGAAGUAGGUCCCAAGGGUAUGGCUGUUCGCCAUUUAAAGUGGUACGCGAGCUGGGUUUAGAACGUCGUGAGACAGUUCGGUCCCUAUCUGCCGUGGGCGCUGGAGAACUGAGGGGGGCUGCUCCUAGUACGAGAGGACCGGAGUGGACGCAUCACUGGUGUUCGGGUUGUCAUGCCAAUGGCACUGCCCGGUAGCUAAAUGCGGAAGAGAUAAGUGCUGAAAGCAUCUAAGCACGAAACUUGCCCCGAGAUGAGUUCUCCCUGACUCCUUGAGAGUCCUGAAGGAACGUUGAAGACGACGACGUUGAUAGGCCGGGUGUGUAAGCGCAGCGAUGCGUUGAGCUAACCGGUACUAAUGAACCGUGAGGCUUAACCUUACAACGCCGAAGCUGUU
RNAcentral lists this ribosomal RNA (2930 nucleotides) under Escherichia coli. RNAcentral describes it as "23S ribosomal RNA". It matches the Rfam family "Bacterial large subunit ribosomal RNA". The record is from RNAcentral. Lineage: Bacteria; Pseudomonadati; Pseudomonadota; Gammaproteobacteria; Enterobacterales; Enterobacteriaceae.